UACAGAGGUCCCAAGCGUUGUUCGGAUUCACUGGGCGUAAAGGGUGCGUAGGCGGUCGGGUAAGUCUGACGUGAAAUCUCCAAGCCUAACUUGGAAACUGCAUUGGAUACUAUCCGGCUAGAGGAAUGGAGGGGAGACUGGAAUACUUGGUGUAGCAGUGAAAUGCGUAGAUAUCAAGUGGAACACCAGUGGCGAAGGCGAGUCUCUGGACAUUUCCUGACGCUGAGGCACGAAAGCCAGGGGAGCAAACGGG
RNAcentral lists this ribosomal RNA (253 nucleotides) under uncultured bacterium. RNAcentral describes it as "partial 16S ribosomal RNA". It matches the Rfam family "Bacterial small subunit ribosomal RNA", at positions 524 to 776 of the family's 1533-position model. The record is from RNAcentral.